This 94-nucleotide transfer RNA is filed under the name Gammaproteobacteria bacterium. Its description in RNAcentral is "tRNA-Ser". It matches the Rfam family "tRNA". Rfam says of the family: Transfer RNA (tRNA) molecules are approximately 80 nucleotides in length. Lineage: Bacteria; Pseudomonadati; Pseudomonadota; Gammaproteobacteria. The record is from RNAcentral. RNAcentral also lists the same sequence under 1 other name.
GGAAGUGUGGCAGAGCACGGUUUAUUGCGCCGGUCUCGAAAAUCGGAAGAUCACGCAAGUGGUCUCGUGGGUUCGAAUCCCACCGCUUCCGCCA